CCCUUAGAUGUCCUGGGCCGCACGCGUGCUACACUGAGUGGAUCAGCGGGUCAGGUUGCGCGAAAGUGUUUCCUAAUCUUUAAAUCCGCUCGUGAUGGGGAUUGACGGUUGCAAUUUUCCGUCAUGAACGAGGAAUACCUUGUAAGCGCGGGUCAUCAUCCCGCGCUGAAUACGUCCCUGCCCUUUGUACACACCGCCCGUCGCUCCUACCGAUUGAGUGGUCCGGUGAGGCUUUGGGAUCUGAGCGGAAAGAGCGUUUCGCUGUUUCUGCCCGGAAAACUCAGUCGAACCUUAUCAUUUAGAGGAAGGAGAAGUCGUAACA
This 322-nucleotide ribosomal RNA is filed under the name uncultured eukaryote. Its description in RNAcentral is "partial 18S ribosomal RNA". It matches the Rfam family "Eukaryotic small subunit ribosomal RNA", at positions 1470 to 1796 of the family's 1831-position model. The record is from RNAcentral.